AGCAUAUCAAUAAGCGGAGGAAAAGAAACCAACAGGGAUUGCCUCAGUAACGGCGAGUGAAGCGGCAACAGCUCAAAUUUGAAAUCUGGCGCCCUCGGCGUCCGAGUUGUAAUUUGUAGAGGAUGCUUCGGCGAGGGCUCCCGUCUAAGUCCCCUGGAACGGGGCGUCGCAGAGGGUGAGAAUCCCGUAUGUGAUGGGCUGCCCGAGCCGUGUGAAGCUCCUUCGACGAGUCGAGUUGUUUGGGAAUGCAGCUCUAAAUGGGAGGUAAAUUUCUUCUAAAGCUAAAUACCGGCCAGAGACCGAUAGCGCACAAGUAGAGUGAUCGAAAGAUGAAAAGCACUUUGGAAAGAGAGUUAAAAAGUACGUGAAAUUGUUGAAAGGGAAGCGCUUGCAACCAGACUCGCGCGCAGUUGCUCAGCCGGUCUCCUGACCGGUGUACUCUUCUGCGUCCGGGCCAGCAUCAGUUCGGGCGGCCGGAUAAAGGCCUCGGGAAUGUGGCUCCCCUCGGGGAGUGUUAUAGCCCGGGGUGCAAUGCGGCCAGCCCGGACUGAGGAACUCGCUUCGGCUAGGAUGCUGGCGUAAUGGUUGUAAGCGGCCCGUCUUGAAACACGGACCAAGGAGUCUAACAUCUAUGCGAGUGUUUGGGUGUCAAACCCAUGCGCGUAAUGAAAGUGAACGGAGGUGGGAACCCUCACGGGUGCACCAUCGACCGAUCCUGAUGUCUUCGGAUGGAUUUGAGUAAGAGCAUAGCUGUUGGGACCCGAAAGAUGGUGAACUAUGCCUGAAUAGGGUGAAGCCAGAGGAAACUCUGGUGGAGGCUCGCAGCGGUUCUGACGUGCAAAUCGAUCGUCAAAUUUGGGUAUAGGGGCGAAAGACUAAUCGAACCAUC
Molecule: ribosomal RNA, 889 nt
Filed under: Kellermania confusa
Lineage: Eukaryota; Fungi; Ascomycota; Dothideomycetes; Botryosphaeriales; Planistromellaceae
Description: LSU rRNA
Rfam family: Eukaryotic large subunit ribosomal RNA
Source: RNAcentral